RNAcentral lists this long non-coding RNA (235 nucleotides) under Numida meleagris (helmeted guineafowl). RNAcentral's name for it is "lncRNA (ENSNMEG00000000690.1)". Lineage: Eukaryota; Metazoa; Chordata; Aves; Galliformes; Numididae. The record is from RNAcentral.
CAGGUGCAUUAUGGGGCUUUCUGGGGCCAGUUUGGGGUUCUUUGGGGGCCUUUUUGGGGCUCUCUGGGGUCAUUUUGGUGCCCUCCAGGUGCAUUUUGGGGUUUUCUGGGGCCAGUUUGGGGUUCUUUGGGUGCAUUUUGGGGCUUUCUGGGGCCAUUUGGAGGCUUUUUGGGGCUCUUGGGGGGCAUUUUGGGGCUCUUUGGGGGCAUUUCAAGGCCCUCCAGGUGCAUUUUAG